UACGAAGGGGGCUAGCGUUGUUCGGAAUUACUGGGCGUAAAGCGCGUGUAGGCGGGGCUUUAAGUCAGGGGUGAAAUGCCAAGGCUCAACCUUGGAACUGCCUUUGAUACUGGAGAUCUUGAGUCCGGGAGAGGUGAGUGGAAUUGCGAGUGUAGAGGUGAAAUUCGUAGAUAUUCGCAAGAACACCAGUGGCGAAGGCGGCUCACUGGCCCGGAACUGACGCUGAGACGCGAAAGCGUGGGGAGCAAACAGG
This 253-nucleotide ribosomal RNA is filed under the name uncultured bacterium. RNAcentral's name for it is "partial 16S ribosomal RNA". It matches the Rfam family "Bacterial small subunit ribosomal RNA", at positions 524 to 776 of the family's 1533-position model. The record is from RNAcentral.